Molecule: ribosomal RNA, 342 nt
Filed under: uncultured Sandaracinus sp.
Lineage: Bacteria; Pseudomonadati; Myxococcota; Polyangiales; Sandaracinaceae
Description: bacterial SSU rRNA
Rfam family: Bacterial small subunit ribosomal RNA
Source: RNAcentral
CAGCAGUGGGGAAGACAACGCUCCGCCCUUGACGGUACCUCCUUAGCAAGCACCGGCUAACUCUGUGCCAGCAGCCGCGGUAAGACAGAGGGUGCGAACGUUGCUCGGAAUUACUGGGCGUAAAGCGCGUGUAGGCGGGUGAUCAAGUCAGGUGUGAAAUCCCUGGGCUCAACCCAGGAACUGCAUUUGAAACUGGUCGCCUUGAGUGUUGGAGAGGGAAGCGGAAUUCCUGGUGUAGAGGUGAAAUUCGUAGAUAUCAGGAGGAACACCGGUGGCGAAGGCGGCUUCCUGGACAACUACUGACGCUGAGACGCGAAAGCGUGGGGAGCAAACAGGAUUAGA